This 158-nucleotide ribosomal RNA is filed under the name Bacillus subtilis. RNAcentral's name for it is "partial 16S ribosomal RNA". It matches the Rfam family "Bacterial small subunit ribosomal RNA", at positions 368 to 521 of the family's 1533-position model. Lineage: Bacteria; Bacillati; Bacillota; Bacilli; Caryophanales; Bacillaceae. The record is from RNAcentral.
UCAAUAAUAAGUCUGACGGAGCACGCCGCCGUGAGUGAUGAAGGUUUUCGGAUCGUAAAGCUCUGUUGUUAGGGAAGAACAAGUACCGUUCGAAUAGGGCGGUACCUUGACGGUACCUAACCAGAAAGCCACGGCUAACUACGUGCCCCGGCCGCGGU